GACGUAGGGGGCCAGCGUUGUUCGGAAUUACUGGGUGUAAAGGGUUCGUAGGCGGUGCGGCAAGUUGGGAGUGAAAUCUCUGGGCUUAACCCAGAGGCUGCUUCCAAAACUGCUGUGCUUGAGUGUGGGAGAGGCGCGUGGAAUUGCAGGUGUAGCGGUGAAAUGCUUAGAUAUGACAUAGAACACCAAUUGCGAAGGCAGCUUACUACCCGAAUAUUGACACUGAGGCACGAAAGCGUGGGGAUCAAACAGG
Molecule: ribosomal RNA, 253 nt
Filed under: uncultured bacterium
Lineage: Bacteria
Description: partial 16S ribosomal RNA
Rfam family: Bacterial small subunit ribosomal RNA
Source: RNAcentral